Molecule: long non-coding RNA, 599 nt
Organism: Lycium barbarum (goji berry)
Lineage: Eukaryota; Viridiplantae; Streptophyta; Magnoliopsida; Solanales; Solanaceae
Exons: 3
Source: RefSeq, a predicted model, not a curated record
GAUAAAAUAAGAAACAAGACCAAAAAAGAAGUUACUAACCUAAACCCACCCCAAACCACUCACCCCCAUCUCUGCCUAACUUCCCUAUUUUUCAUUUUCCCAUUCCAUCGUGAGAUACAAAUUAUAUAGUCAUGUUGAAAGUUACACGAAGAGAUAACUUUUGGAAGUUUCUGAAAGAUGGAGAAGAGAAAAGCAACGUCGAAAGACGAUAAUUUGACGGUCAAGGAGGACAAAAAGGCCAAGAAAGAUCCUAAUAAGCCUAAGAGGCCUCCCAAGUUCAGUGGCAUAUGACAAAUGAUCAUGCAUGCUAUUGCAGCGAGGAAUUAAUUUCAGGAAGACAUUUAAAAAGGAGAAUCCUAAUGUGAAGGAUGUUUCAGAUAUAUCAAACAUGUUGAUGUCCUGAGAUUCGAAAAACAUACAGGAAAAGAAAGGGACUACUUCAAGCUCAUGUAUGUAAAUAAAGUAAAACACGAAGUUGACACUGUAAGUCAGAAAUAAGUGAAAGACUGUAAUCGAUUUACGUAAUUCAUUGGAGUAUUACUUUUUCAAAAAACCUACAAAACAAAUUACAUUUACGUGAAUUGUUUUGGAGAUGAUGA